This 225-nucleotide long non-coding RNA is filed under the name Ricinus communis (castor bean). RNAcentral's name for it is "long non-coding RNA (RCOM_LNC003199)". The record is from RNAcentral. Lineage: Eukaryota; Viridiplantae; Streptophyta; Magnoliopsida; Malpighiales; Euphorbiaceae.
UCCAAUGCUUUGACAAAUGCAAAGAAAGAAAAUUAGUUGAUCGAGUAUUGAUAUCAUUCUCUGGAUGAUUGCGAAUGAAUCUUUUGGAGGAAAGAGGGAAUGACGAGAAUCGAGGCACGCCUAGAUUUUUUUUAUUCAUGAUUUGCACUAUUGGAAUCUCCAUAAUUCCUUGCUCCUCUAAGGACGAGGACUCCUAAAGGCACAAGGAUUGACUUAAGGAAUCAU